AUCGAACGCUGCGGCAGGCUUAACACAUGCAAGUCGAGCGAGCGGCGGACGGGUGUGUAAUGCUUAGGAAUCUGCCUAUUAGUGGGGGACAACAUCUCGAAAGGGAUGCUAAUACCGCAUACUAAUAGAUGAGUCUCAGUGGGAUUAGCUAGGCGGUGGGGUAAAGGCCUACUAAGGCGACGAUCUGUAGCGUGUCUGAGAGGAUGAUCCGCCACACUGGGACGGAGACACGGCCCAGACUCCUACGGGAGGCAGAAGUGGGGAAUAUUGGACAAGGGGGGGAACCCUGAUCCAGCAAUGCCGCGUGUGUGAAGAAGGCCUUAUGGUUGUAAAGCACUUUAAGCGAGGAGGCGUUACUCGAAGAAUAAGCACCGGCUAACUCUGUGCCAGCAGCCGCGGUAAUUC
This 405-nucleotide ribosomal RNA is filed under the name uncultured bacterium. Its description in RNAcentral is "partial 16S ribosomal RNA". It matches the Rfam family "Bacterial small subunit ribosomal RNA", at positions 30 to 526 of the family's 1533-position model. The record is from RNAcentral.